GGUAGUGUAGUUUGGUGGUAGAGCAUUUGUCUAGAACACAAAUGGCUGUGGGUUCAAUACUCAGCACCA
Molecule: transfer RNA, 69 nt
Filed under: Fukomys damarensis (Damara mole-rat)
Lineage: Eukaryota; Metazoa; Chordata; Mammalia; Rodentia; Bathyergidae
Rfam family: tRNA
About the family: Transfer RNA (tRNA) molecules are approximately 80 nucleotides in length. Their secondary structure includes four short double-helical elements and three loops (D, anti-codon, and T loops). Further hydrogen bonds mediate the characteristic L-shaped molecular structure. tRNAs have two regions of fundamental functional importance: the anti-codon, which is responsible for specific mRNA codon recognition, and the 3' end, to which the tRNAs corresponding amino acid is attached (by aminoacyl-tRNA synthetases). tRNAs cope with the degeneracy of the genetic code in two manners: having more than one tRNA (with a specific anti-codon) for a particular amino acid; and 'wobble' base-pairing, i.e. permitting non-standard base-pairing at the 3rd anti-codon position.
Source: Rfam by way of RNAcentral